CCUACGGGUGGCAGCAGUGGGGAAUAUUGCACAAUGGGGGAAACCCUGAUGCAGCGACGCCGCGUGAGUGAAGAAGUAUUUCGGUAUGUAAAGCCCUAUCAGCAGGGAAGAUAAUGACGGUACCUGACUAAGAAGCCCCGGCUAACUACGUGCCAGCAGCCGCGGGAAUACGUAGGGGGCCAGCGUUAUCCGGAUUUACUGGGUGGAAAGGGUGCGUAGGUGGCAGGGCAAGUCAGAUGUGAAAGCCCGGGUCUCAACCCCGGUACUGCAUUUGAAACUGUCCAGCUGGAGUGCAGGAGAGGUAAGCGGAAUUCCUAGUGUAGCGGUGAAAUGCGUAGAUAUUAGGAGGAACACCAGUGGCGAAGGCGGCUUACUGGACUGUAACUGACACUGAGGCACGAAAGCGUGGGGAGCAAACAGGAUUAGAUACCCCAGUAGUC
Molecule: ribosomal RNA, 440 nt
Filed under: uncultured bacterium
Lineage: Bacteria
Description: partial 16S ribosomal RNA
Rfam family: Bacterial small subunit ribosomal RNA
Source: RNAcentral